UUCAAAAUCUGUAUUCUUUCUUUCGCCUACUUUCUCUCAAAACAAUUCUAUAUUGUUUUUCUUAUAUAUUUUAUUUAUACAUAUAAUAAUAAGGCUCUACCUUGUUUUAAGUAUUUUAAACUCCCAAUCACCGCUACCCAUUUUCCGUUUGAUCUGAGCCUCAGGGCUCUGCCCGACUAAGUUGUUGGGAUUUGGUCUCGGGACUUCGGGACAAGGUUGAUUUAGGGGUACUAUACUUACCACGAGUGCAAUAUAUAUUUUUAAUAGCCCAAAAGUUAUACCCAAAAUUUAUACCAGGAAAUUUUCUAGUUGAAACCUAAAGUUACAAAGUGGGUCCAUUCUCUUUUCUCACUAUUUUAUUCUCUUUUUGUAAUUUACCCAAAACUAUUAUUUAUUAUUCUAUUCUCAUCAAAAGGUUAUACUUUGUCGUUCGUCGUUAAUUCGAUGGAUGUUUAAGUAUCUAUCGCACUUUGUCGUUCGUUGUGAGAAUUUGAUCUCGUGAGUUAUCGUAAUUGUUGUAUUAAGUUACCUACCUAGUUCGUAUGCACUAGGUUACAAGGCUAAAUCAAUAGGCUAAGCUCUGCCUGUGUAAAUCUGCAAUAUAUCAAGGCUUAUCUGUAGACUAAACUUUGGCCGUAUGAAUCUGCAUGAUUAUAAUGUGAGUCAUUCUCUUUUUAUCAACUGUUUUACAAUACUCCAAAUUAUUUUCAGAAUUAUAAAUUACAGUGAUUAAGUUUAUGUAAUCACCAAAUUACAGCCAGU
This 762-nucleotide long non-coding RNA is filed under the name Helianthus annuus (common sunflower). The record is from RNAcentral. Lineage: Eukaryota; Viridiplantae; Streptophyta; Magnoliopsida; Asterales; Asteraceae.